CCAAAUCCUCUUGAAUCCCCAAUCUAUAACAAUUUUUUUUUUUUUGCUUCAAACCCUUACCAAACCUUCACAUAACUAAUUCCAGUAACAUCAUCCAGAAUCUCCCAUCCACACCAAUAAACAUAAGACCAAAGAUAUAAGAUUCCCUCAAUACAAAAAAAUAAUUUUUACAAAUCCAUAAACCAUGCGGUAUACACGAGUUGCUACACAUAGUCAUUCAAGGAACACCUUUCACCAAUCACCGUCGGCGAGAAGAAGAAGAAAACAAAGAGGGUCGUCGGCCUACCUUACCCAGUUCAGACCAUAUAGAAGUGGAUUAAUCGUUGUCUUGAUCCCAUCACUGGCAUGUGCCUUCCACCACUUCCAGCCGAUGGAUCAUGCUCCGGCGCCCACCACGACCUCUGGAUGACCACCGUAGAAGAAGGAAGAGAGCCUCAUAACCUGCUAUUUCGUUCCAUCGUGCCAUCACUGUGAAAGCCGCUGACCGCCGCUAUGAUUGGUGCUGCAUGUAGGGAUUUCAUUCCCUUUAGUAGUUGAAGCCAACAGGGGUAACACGGUUACCCCUUUCUUUUUAAUGCUUAUUUUAUUCUUUAUUUUUUUAGUUUUCUUCAUUUAGUUUUUUUAGUUUAUUUGUUGCAAUUUCUUUUUAAUUCCUUUUCAUGGCACCAUGAGGUAUUGGG
RNAcentral lists this long non-coding RNA (680 nucleotides) under Lupinus angustifolius (narrow-leaved blue lupine). RNAcentral's name for it is "long non-coding RNA (LANG_LNC003398)". The record is from RNAcentral. Lineage: Eukaryota; Viridiplantae; Streptophyta; Magnoliopsida; Fabales; Fabaceae.